UACAGAGGUGGCAAGCGUUGUUCGGAAUUACUGGGCGUAAAGGGCGCGUAGGCGGCCCGUCAAGUCCCGUGUGAAAGCCCCCGGCUCAACCGGGGAACGGCGCGGGAAACUAGCAGGCUUGAGUUCGGGAGAGGGAAGCGGAAUUCCGGGUGUAGCGGUGAAAUGCGCAGAUAUCCGGAGGAACACCGGUGGCGAAGGCGGCUUCCUGGACCGGUAUUGACGCUGAGGCGCGAAAGCUAGGGGAGCAAACGGG
Molecule: ribosomal RNA, 253 nt
Filed under: uncultured bacterium
Lineage: Bacteria
Description: partial 16S ribosomal RNA
Rfam family: Bacterial small subunit ribosomal RNA
Source: RNAcentral